AGUGAACGCUGGCGGUAGGCCUAACACAUGCAAGUCGAACGGCAGCACAGUAAGAGCUUGCUCUUACGGGUGGCGAGUGGCGGACGGGUGAGGAAUACAUCGGAAUCUACUUUUUCGUGGGGGAUAACGUAGGGAAACUUACGCUAAUACCGCAUACGACCUACGGGUGAAAGCAGGGGAUCUUCGGACCUUGCGCGAUUGAAUGAGCCGAUGUCGGAUUAGCUAGUUGGCGGGGUAAAGGCCCACCAAGGCGACGAUCCGUAGCUGGUCUGAGAGGAUGAUCAGCCACACUGGAACUGAGACACGGUCCAGACUCCUACGGGAGGCAGCAGUGGGGAAUAUUGGACAAUGGGCGCAAGCAUGAUCCAGCCAUACCGCGUGGGUGAAGAAGGCCUGCGGGUUGUAAAGCCCUUUUGUUGGGAAAGAAAAGCAGCAGGUUAAUACCCCGCUGUUCUGACGGUACCCAAAGAAUAAGCACCGGCUAACUUCGU
This 491-nucleotide ribosomal RNA is filed under the name uncultured bacterium. Its description in RNAcentral is "partial 16S ribosomal RNA". It matches the Rfam family "Bacterial small subunit ribosomal RNA", at positions 29 to 506 of the family's 1533-position model. The record is from RNAcentral.